RNAcentral lists this ribosomal RNA (204 nucleotides) under Bacillus atrophaeus. RNAcentral's name for it is "partial 16S ribosomal RNA". It matches the Rfam family "Bacterial small subunit ribosomal RNA", at positions 1 to 201 of the family's 1533-position model. Lineage: Bacteria; Bacillati; Bacillota; Bacilli; Caryophanales; Bacillaceae. The record is from RNAcentral.
UUAUCGGAGAGUUUGAUCCUGGCUCAGGACGAACGCUGGCGGCGUGCCUAAUACAUGCAAGUCGAGCGGACAGAUGGGAGCUUGCUCCCUGAUGUUAGCGGCGGACGGGUGAGUAACACGUGGGUAACCUGCCUGUAAGACAGGUAUAACACCUGGAAACCGGGGCUAAUACCGGAUGCUUGUAAGAACCGCAUGGUUCAAACA